UACGUAGGAGGCAAGCGUUGUCCGGAUUUAUUGGGCGUAAAGAGCUCGUAGGUGGUUCGGUAAGUCGGAUGUGAAAUCUCCAGGCUCAACCUGGAGGGGUCAUUCGAUACUGCCGUGACUAGAGGUCGGUAGGGGAGUGUGGAAUUCCUGGUGGAGCGGUGAAAUGCGCAGAUAUCAGGAGGAACACCCGUAGCGAAGGCGGCACUCUGGGCCGAUACUGACACUGAGGAGCGAAAGCGUGGGGAGCGAACAGG
This 254-nucleotide ribosomal RNA is filed under the name uncultured bacterium. RNAcentral's name for it is "partial 16S ribosomal RNA". It matches the Rfam family "Bacterial small subunit ribosomal RNA", at positions 524 to 776 of the family's 1533-position model. The record is from RNAcentral.